Long non-coding RNA from Homo sapiens (human), 3119 nucleotides. Ensembl annotates it as DLX6 antisense RNA 1. Its record names the gene DLX6-AS1. The record is from Ensembl. NCBI's taxonomy places the organism in Eukaryota, Metazoa, Chordata, Mammalia, Primates, Hominidae.
GGAGCAGCCCAAGGCUGCGGAUCUAGCCUUUCUCCCUCCGGUCUCCAGACCCACGCAGGUUAAGGCAGCCAAGCAGAGACAGCGGAGCCCCGGUGCGUGGUUCAGGCCUGGUCAACAGGUAGGAGGGCCAGACUGGGGGCCAGGCACAGAGGAGGGCAGGCCCGCCCGCACCGGCGUCCAGGGUCCCGGGUUCCGGGUCCCGGGACUGGAGGAGGUCGCCGGCAGCCCGCCCUUCCAGAGGCUUGAGAUUGGGUGGACGAGACCUGAAGAUCCUCUCGGUCUGGACCCCGACUUUCGAUCUGCUUAGAGACCUAAGCCGCGAGCCUUUGCCCACACGGAGAAACGUACUAUCUAAUAUCUAACAACCCUGUACUGCAGUGUCUGGAGGUUGCGGGAAGGAGACAGUGUCUCCCUUUGGGAAAACUACUGAGGACUUCUGUAUAUCCUACUUCUUCUGGACUCCAUAAGUUACAGGACCGAAGGAAACUGAGAAAUAGAGAAAAGGUGCCGCUUGCCCCUUUAACUCCAGAAAAGGGUGGCUGCAGAUGGAGCAGCUUGGACUUUAUUUUUUACGUUGCGCGAAGCCCGCCGGCAGCGGCUUAUGCCAAUUGAUUUUCCCAGCUCCCAGCCCUGGAUGUCUAGCUAUCUCCAGGACAGUUUGUUUUUUUCUUUUUCUGUCUUUCUUUCUUUCCUUCAAUGUAUCAGAAGACCUGAAGCUCGCUGCCCGCGAGUUUCCUCCGAGUUCCCAGAGUCUUGCUCUAUUGCCCAGGCUGCAACUGGUGUGAUCUCGGCUCACUACAACCUCUGCCUCCUGGGUUCAAGCGAUUCUCCUGCCUCAAGCUCCCAAUUGCUGAGACAAAGGAAAACCCACUCCCUUGGAGGAGCAUGACCUUUUCCUGUAAUUCUUCCCACUGCUGUUGUUGAGCUCCUUGGAUCCUGGCUCCUGGACACCAUCAUCAAGAAGACUUUAUGGAUGGGCUGUCCACCCACUGAGAGAAGAGGAGCAUCAGCUACAGUUUCUCUCUAGAUUGCCUUCUUCAUUUUGAGUAAUGACUGUCAGCAGGGUCAGAUUAAACACAAAACAACUGGACAAUUGCUUGGAGGACUAAACUAUAAGGGCACUAACAUGUCAAUAGUAGGCUAACACAUCCAUGGAAAAUAUAUUUACCAGCUCUUCUCUCAGGGAGGAUUCUGUGUGGGGUUGGAAGUAAUGAUUUGUUAAAUUCCUUAGGGGUAGAAAGUAGGGCAUAAUCAGAAUAUAGAGGAAUAUGCUGUUUGACUUCAGGGUUUCUGUUUUUCUUACUAGGAUAUAUAAAACAGGGACUCUAGCUAGAUUGUUUAUGACCACAGAGGGUAGGCUGAGUGCUCCCAUGAUCUUCCUGCUUGGUUCUUGCCCAUACAGAGGUCAGCCUUUCCUCUAAUAAAGAUUGAACAAGUAGUGGUCUGAGGGAGACACCAAUUCAUUACCCUACAUGUCUCUUCUCUGCACUCCAGGGCUUUGAUAAUAAAGACACUGGCAGACUAUCUAUCUUCCAUUUCUAUAAUGUGAGCCCUUAGGGAGUCUUCGUUCACUUGGGGGUGAGGGUCAUUGCUCACAGAGUAGUUCAAGUCAAAUGGAACUUGAACUCUUUGCCUAUGGGCCUGGUGGUCAGACUCUGUGUUGAGUUCAUUAGAUUAUUGGAGACACAAGGUAGAGCUGGAUGCUUCAAAAAUAUUUGGCUAAAGGAUGACAUUGCUGGUUAUUUGUAGAUAAAGCCAUGAUGGAACCUGCUUGGAAUCAUGAAAUAUGGAACUGGUGGUCAUGUUUAAAAAUACAACUAAUAGUUAAGUACCUACUGGACACUGUAGAGACUUAGGGGCUAGACAGACAUGGUUCCUGCCCCCUUGGAGCUUACACUGUAGCUUCCCCUUAGGUAUGAAGAACAGUGGCUACAACUAACAAAUGGCCACAAAGAUAUAAUUGAGCCAGUGUUCCAAUUAUUAGGGUAAUUCCUAUUUCCUUAAUCAUUCCUAUUGACCAUGUUCUAUAAGCCUGCAUUCUAUAAAUGGCGUAUGACCAUGGGCUGUUUCCCCCCAGCAAGUUGUACAAAGUUCUGUGGUACCAGGGAAAGGGCUUAAGGUUAGCAGGGCCUCUGCGGAAGGACAUAUGAAGUGACUUGGGUUAGGAAACAGGAAGGGAUAGGAUUCAAGAACAGCUAUUGCUUCUGUUCUAUAUAGGAAACUGCAGCGUGAAAAAUGCUGGGCUGGGAAUUUUGAGACCUGGGUUUUAGUUUGUGUUCUAAUACUAACAAGCUAUGUGACUGUGGGUAAGUCAUUUCACAUUCCAUUUGGAUGCCUCUUGAGUGACUCCAGGCCUCUCCAGCUCUAAAACAUUAAGAUCAGGCCCUACGCUACAGCUGGCCAGUGUGUAAUUCUUCUGUUUCUAUGCUGUUAGGUCAAAUAGAUCUUCAAUAGUUACUUGAUUGUUAUUACUUUUUUCUGAAGUGGGUGUUUUAUCAAUGUUUUAGGAUACAGUGAGUCUGCUUCUCCCCUUUGGAGUUAGGAAGGUUGUAGGAAUAUACACUGUAGAGCAUAUGGGAGCUUUAUCCCCUCCUUUUUUCCCCGCUACCUUUCUCCCUCUCCUUCCCUUCAUCACAUUUCUAUUGAGCAUAUGCCAUUGCCGUGUACCAGGUGUGUGCUAGGUUUGGAGAUACAAGGUAAACCUGAGACUUUCCCAGUCUCCAGGAGACAAAACCCUAAUUUCUUUCAUCUGCUGUCUUUCUCUUUGGAAAGAAUCAACGAUAUCCCAGGGGAAUGUGCCCAUGUCCCAGGGUAACCAACUACAGACAGAUGCCCCAUUCUACUCAAGCAACUUUUAGAGUGCCUUGAGAUACACAUCAGAUAAUUAUGCAGGGCCAGGCAUGGUGCUGCACACUUGUAAUCACAGCACUUUGGGAGGCCGAGGCAGCAGAUUGCUUGAGCCCAGGAAUUCAAGUGUAGCCUAGGGAACAUGGCAAAACCCCAGCUCUACAAAAAAAUACACAAAUUAGCUGCGUGUGGUGGCCUAUGACAGGAGGCUGAGAUGGGAGGAUUGCUUGAGCCUGUGAGGUCGAGGCUGCAGUGAGCCGAGAUCAUGCCAU